Molecule: ribosomal RNA, 253 nt
Filed under: uncultured bacterium
Lineage: Bacteria
Description: partial 16S ribosomal RNA
Rfam family: Bacterial small subunit ribosomal RNA
Source: RNAcentral
UACGUAGGCAGCGAGCGUUGUUCGGAGUUACUGGGCGUAAAGGGUGCGUAGGCGGUUGUUUAAGUUUGGUGUGAAAUCUCCCGGCUCAACUGGGAGGGUGCGCCGAAUACUGAAUGACUAGAGUGCGGGAGAGGAGAGUGGAAUUCCUGGUGUAGCGGUGAAAUGCGUAGAUAUCGGGAGGAACACCAGUGGCGCAAGCGGCUAACUGGCCGAGACCUGACGCUGAGACGCGACGGCGUGGGGAGCAAACCGG